RNAcentral lists this small nuclear RNA (198 nucleotides) under Ophiophagus hannah (king cobra). Its description in RNAcentral is "7SK RNA". It matches the Rfam family "7SK RNA", at positions 1 to 199 of the family's 331-position model. From Rfam's summary of the family: 7SK was discovered as an abundant small nuclear RNA in the mid-70s but a possible function has only recently been suggested. Two independent studies have found that 7SK RNA binds the CDK9/cyclin T complex (known as elongation factor P-TEFb). Lineage: Eukaryota; Metazoa; Chordata; Lepidosauria; Squamata; Elapidae. The record is from Rfam by way of RNAcentral.
AGAUGUGAGGGUGAUCCAGAUGUGGCAUCUGUCAACCCAUUGAUUGCCAUGGUUGACUCGACUGAUCUGGUUGGCUAGGUGGGUGUCCCCUUCCUCCCUCAUCGUUCCAUGUGCAUCCCUCCUGAAGUUGUUCAGUGGAAGGGGAUGACCAUCCUAGACAGAAGGAGUGUACUAAUCAUUAGUCAAGGAUAUACAAUA